Molecule: transfer RNA, 70 nt
Filed under: Nicholsina usta (emerald parrotfish)
Lineage: Eukaryota; Metazoa; Chordata; Actinopteri; Labriformes; Labridae
Description: tRNA-Gln
Rfam family: tRNA
About the family: Transfer RNA (tRNA) molecules are approximately 80 nucleotides in length. Their secondary structure includes four short double-helical elements and three loops (D, anti-codon, and T loops).
Source: RNAcentral
AGGAAGUGGUGUAGCGGGAGCACUAAGAGUUUUGAUCUCUUCAGGAAGGGUUCGAACCCCUUUUUUCUAA